GCGCCUGAAGUCAAGUAAGAUGACCCGCUGAAC
Molecule: ribosomal RNA, 33 nt
Filed under: Gruberia sp. SUAS-2014
Lineage: Eukaryota; Ciliophora; Heterotrichea; Heterotrichida; Spirostomidae
Description: partial 28S ribosomal RNA
Source: RNAcentral